UCUUNCCAUGCNAGUCGUGGNACNGNNGGNNACCAGAGAGCUUAACGCUCUCUUGGCGGCGAGUGGCGGACCGGGUGAGUAAUAUACAUCGGAACGUGCCCAGUAGCGGGGGAUAACUACUCGAAAGAGUGGCUAAUACCGCAUACGCCCUACGGGGGAAAGGGGGGGAUCGCUAGCAAGACCUCUCACUAUUGGAGCGGCCGAUAUCGGAUUAGCUAGUUGGUGGGGUAAAGGGCAGCUCACCAAGGCAACGAUCCGUAGCUGGUUUGAGAGGACGACCAGCACACACUGGGACUGAGACACGGCCCAGACUCCUACGGGAGGCAGCAGUGGGGAAUUUUGGACAAUGGGGGAAACCCUGAUCCAGCCAUCCCCCGCGUGUAUGAUGAAGGCCUUCGGGUUGUAAAGUACUUUUGGCAGAGAAGAAAAGGUAUCCCCUAAUACGGGAUACUGCUGACGGUAUCUGCAGAAUAAGCACCGGCUAACUACGUGCCAGCAGCCGCGGUAAUACGUAUAGGGUGCAAGCGUUAAUCGGGAAUUACUGGGCGUAAAGCGUGUGUAGGCGGUUUUCGGAAAGAAAGAUGUGAAAUCCCAGGGCUCAACCUUGGAACUGCAUUUUUAACUGCCGAGCUAGAGUAUGUCAGAGGGGGGUAGAAUUCCACGUGUAGCAGUGAAAUGCGUAGAUAUGUGGAGGAAUACCGAUGGCGAAGGCAGCCCC
RNAcentral lists this ribosomal RNA (718 nucleotides) under Alcaligenes faecalis. RNAcentral's name for it is "bacterial SSU rRNA". It matches the Rfam family "Bacterial small subunit ribosomal RNA", at positions 48 to 728 of the family's 1533-position model. The record is from RNAcentral. Lineage: Bacteria; Pseudomonadati; Pseudomonadota; Betaproteobacteria; Burkholderiales; Alcaligenaceae.